AGCGAACGCUAGCGGCGGGCCUAACACAUGCAAGUCGAGCGGGGAGCAAUCCCAGCGGCGAACGGGUGAGUAACACGUGGGUAAUGUGCCUUCUGGUGGGGAAUAACCUUGGGAAACCAGGGCUAAUACCGCAUAUCGUGCUUCGGCAUGAAAGCCUUUGGGCGCCGGUAGAGCAGCCUGCGUCCCAUUAUUUAGUCCUAGUUGGUAGGGUAAUGGCCUACCAAGGGUACGAUGGGUAGCUGGUCUGAGAGGAUGAUCAGCCACACUGGAACUGAGACACGGUCCAGACUCCUACGGGAGGCAGCAGUGGGGAAUAUUGCGCAAUGGGGGAAACCCGUGACGCAGCCACGCCGCGUGAGUGAUGAAGGCCUC
RNAcentral lists this ribosomal RNA (372 nucleotides) under uncultured bacterium. RNAcentral's name for it is "bacterial SSU rRNA". It matches the Rfam family "Bacterial small subunit ribosomal RNA", at positions 29 to 418 of the family's 1533-position model. The record is from RNAcentral.